GACGAACGCUGGCGGCGUGCUUAACACAUGCAAGUCGAACGGAAAGGCCCCUUUGGGGGUACUCGAGUGGCGAACGGGUGAGUAACACGUGAGUAACCUGCCCUUGACUUCGGGAUAACUUCAGGAAACUGGGGCUAAUACCGGAUAGGAAUCCUUGCUGCAUGGUGGGGGUUGGAAAGCUUCGGCGGUUUUGGAUGGACUGGCGGGUUAUCAGCUUGUUGGUGGGGUAGUGGCUUACCAAGGCUUUGUCGGGUAGCCGGCCUGAGAGGGCGACCGGCCACAUUGGGACUGAGAUACGGCCCAGACUCCUACGGGAGGCAGCAGUGGGGAAUAUUGCACAAUGGGCGGAAGCCGGAUGCAGCAACGCCGCGUGCGGGAUGACGGCCUUCGGGUUGUAAACCGCUUUCAGCAGGGGCGAAGCUUGUGGUGACGGUACCUGCAGAAGAAGCACCGGCUAACUACGUG
RNAcentral lists this ribosomal RNA (465 nucleotides) under uncultured bacterium. RNAcentral's name for it is "partial 16S ribosomal RNA". It matches the Rfam family "Bacterial small subunit ribosomal RNA", at positions 28 to 507 of the family's 1533-position model. The record is from RNAcentral.